AGCUUUGCGCAGUGGCAGUAUCAUAGCCAAUGAGGUUUAUCUGAGGCACGAUUAUUGCUAAUUGAAAACUUUUCCCUAGCUCAAGGGUGGAGAACAGGAACUCAUCUUGGGAAGACUCAGGUAUGCUAAGCCCUUAGAGU
Molecule: small nuclear RNA, 140 nt
Organism: Nycticebus coucang (slow loris)
Lineage: Eukaryota; Metazoa; Chordata; Mammalia; Primates; Lorisidae
Product: U4 spliceosomal RNA
Exons: 1
Source: RefSeq, a predicted model, not a curated record